This 253-nucleotide ribosomal RNA is filed under the name uncultured bacterium. RNAcentral's name for it is "partial 16S ribosomal RNA". It matches the Rfam family "Bacterial small subunit ribosomal RNA", at positions 524 to 776 of the family's 1533-position model. The record is from RNAcentral.
UACAGAGGGGGCAAGCGUUGUUCGGAAUUACUGGGCGUAAAGGGCGCGUAGGCGGCCUGCUAAGUCGAACGUGAAAUCCCUGGGCUCAACCCAGGAACUGCGUCCGAUACUGGUUGGCUUGAAUCCGGGAGAGGGAUGUGGAAUUCCAGGUGUAGCGGUGAAAUGCGUAGAUAUCUGGAGGAACACCGGUGGCGAAGGCGACAUCCUGGACCGGUAUUAACGCUGAGGCGCGAAAGCCAGGGGAGCAAACGGG